GACGGAGGCUGCAAGCGUUAUCCGGAAUGAUUGGGCGUAAAGCGUCUGCAGGCGGCUGUUCAAGUCUGCUGUCAAAGACCGGGGCUUAACUUCGGAAAGGCAGUGGAAACUGAACAGCUAGAGUAUGGUAGGGGCAGAGGGAAUUCCUGGUGUAGCGGUGAAAUGCGUAGAGAUCAGGAAGAACAUCGGUGGCGAAGGCGCUCUGCUGGACCAUAACUGACACUCAGGGACGAAAGCUAGGGGAGCGAAUGGG
Molecule: ribosomal RNA, 253 nt
Filed under: uncultured bacterium
Lineage: Bacteria
Description: partial 16S ribosomal RNA
Rfam family: Bacterial small subunit ribosomal RNA
Source: RNAcentral